RNAcentral lists this ribosomal RNA (253 nucleotides) under uncultured bacterium. Its description in RNAcentral is "partial 16S ribosomal RNA". It matches the Rfam family "Bacterial small subunit ribosomal RNA", at positions 524 to 776 of the family's 1533-position model. The record is from RNAcentral.
UACGUAGGCAGCGAGCGUUGUUCGGAGUUACUGGGCGUAAAGCGUGCGUAGGCGGCGGUCCAUGUCUGGUGUGAAAUCUCCCGGCUUAACUGGGAGGGUGCGCCGGAAACGGGGCUGCUGGAGUGCGGGAGAGGUAAGCGGAAUUCCCGGUGUAGCGGUGAAAUGCGUAGAUAUCGGAAGGAACAUCAGUGGCGAAAGCGACUUCCUGGACCAAUACUGACGCUCAUGUGCGAAAGCGUGGGGAGCAAACAGG